CAGAUGAUGAAUGGAUGGAUUUUACAUACAUGAUAUAGAGAGAGAUAACUUUUCAGUUCCUAAUUAAAGGAGUUACUUUUUAUUGAUAAGGCAACACAAAACUUGAUUUCUUACAAUGAUUGUAAAAUAACUUUCAUUGUAAAAAAAAAAAAAAUCUAUUGCACAAACUGUUGGAACAGACGCUCACCUGUUUGAUAAUCAGUAAUUAAGCAUUUUAGCACUUAAGCACAAAUGCUAACAAGGUUAGCCAUCCAAGUUUGUACUCAUUUCAAACCACUUCAGUUCUUGGUGAGCCAGAUUCCACUGAAUUUAGCCAGGCGUUGGAGAUGCACCUUUGAACCUUCCGGCAAGUUCAGCCACAGUGGGGCGGGACGCGGUCGUCUCCUGAGGGAGGAUGGAAGGAAGGGAGUCCAGUUAGCAUCAGAUUUGAACAACAGUCACAGAAGAUGACACGCAUGAUUUACCUUCGCGGACCAUAGAAUCAUGUGGCGGGCCGGAUCUGGCCCCCGGGCCCUGAGUUUGACACCACUGAACUACAUCAUAUAAAUUGGGCCAGUUUUUGAAGAGGAACCCACAGCACUGAACGAUGUCUCCACCUUUAAAGGAAAUUGAGCCACAACAGCCAAGCAAAUGUCUUCUUUCACUUCUCCUUUGGUGUUCCAAUACUUCCUCACUUCUUCCUUGUACCAUGUAGCGCAAUGAUUCUCAGUCCGAUUUUAUUAAAGGCGUUCCUGCGACGGCCGCCGCCCGAAACGUCGCCCUCCUCGCGCCCGUCCUCCACAGGACUCCACCUGGGGUGUGCGUGACCCGUCGAAAAGAGAAGGGGACUGUCGGCGGCGUCGGGCGUGAUGC
This is a long non-coding RNA of Syngnathoides biaculeatus (alligator pipefish), 852 nucleotides long. RefSeq lists it as uncharacterized. NCBI's taxonomy places the organism in Eukaryota, Metazoa, Chordata, Actinopteri, Syngnathiformes, Syngnathidae. The transcript has 5 exons. The record is from RefSeq and is a predicted model, not a curated record.